This 616-nucleotide ribosomal RNA is filed under the name uncultured Campylobacterota bacterium. RNAcentral's name for it is "bacterial SSU rRNA". It matches the Rfam family "Bacterial small subunit ribosomal RNA", at positions 33 to 670 of the family's 1533-position model. Lineage: Bacteria; Pseudomonadati; Campylobacterota. The record is from RNAcentral.
ACGCUGGCGGCGUGCUUACACAUGCAAGUCGAACGAUGAAGUUUAGUUUACUAAAUGGAUUAGUGGCGCACGGGUGAGUAAUAUAUAGUUAAUCUGCCUCUUAGUCUGGAAUAGCCAUUGGAAACGAUGAUUAAUACUAGAUACUCCUUCUCUAUCUAAUUAGAGUUGGGAAAGUUUUUCGCUAAGAGAUGAGACUAUAUCCCAUCAGGUAGUUGGUAGUGUAAGAGACUACCAAGCCAAUGACGGGUAGCGGGUUUGAGAGGAUGAUCCGCCACACUGGUACUGAGACACGGACCAGACUCCUACGGGAGGCAGCAGUGAGGAAUAUUGCACAAUGGGGGAAACCCUGAUGCAGCAACGCCGCGUGGAGGAUGACGCAUUUCGGUGUGUAAACUCCUUUUAUCAAGGAAGAAAAUGACGGUACUUGAUGAAUAAGCACCGGCUAACUCCGUGCCAGCAGCCGCGGUAAUACGGAGGGUGCAAGCGUUAUUCGGAAUCACUGGGCGUAAAGGACGCGUAGGCGGGAAGCCAAGUCUGAUGUGAAAUCCUAUGGCUUAACCAUAGAACUGCAUUGGAAACUGGUUACCUAGAGUAUGGGAGGGGGAGAUGGAAUUAG